This 243-nucleotide long non-coding RNA is filed under the name Lathyrus oleraceus (garden pea). Its description in RNAcentral is "Pisum sativum (pea) long non-coding RNA (PSAT_LNC023080)". The record is from RNAcentral. Lineage: Eukaryota; Viridiplantae; Streptophyta; Magnoliopsida; Fabales; Fabaceae.
AGUGACCCGGAUGAUCUCUUCGGCCUUCCAGUUCUGGAUUUCCAUCCCUGGUGUGCACGGCUUUAUCCAUUGGUCGAUGUCGCAGUCACUAUCAAUAUCUUCACCCAUCAUACAGAUGUGAUCCGGAUCCAGCAUUCCGGCGCUUGUGAAGGUUACUGACGUACGACGUCCUCUUCCUCGUCCUGAGCCUCGGCCCGGUUGAUAUCCAACCCCAAAACGGUCCUUCUUCUCAGGGACCUCCAU